RNAcentral lists this ribosomal RNA (1377 nucleotides) under Clostridium thiosulfatireducens. RNAcentral's name for it is "bacterial SSU rRNA". It matches the Rfam family "Bacterial small subunit ribosomal RNA". The record is from RNAcentral. Lineage: Bacteria; Bacillati; Bacillota; Clostridia; Eubacteriales; Clostridiaceae.
CAUGCAGUCGAGCGAUGACUCCCUUCAGAGUGAAUUAUCGGCGAACAGGGUGAGGUAACACCUGGGUAAGCUGCCUUAUAUAGGGGGAUAGCCUUCCGAAAGGAAGAUUAAUACCGCAUGAAAUGUUUUUAUCGCAUGGUAGAAACAUCAGAGGAGUAAUCCGCUAUAACAUGGAACCGCGGCGCAUUAGCUAUUUGGUGAGGUAACGGCCCACCAAGGCGACCAUGCUUAGCCGACCUGAGAGGGUGAUCGGACACAUUGGAACUGAGACACCGUCCAGACUCCUACGGUAGGCAACAUUGCGGAAUAUUGCACAGUGUGAUAAACCCUGACCCAGCGACGCCUCGUGAAUGAAGAAGGCCUUAGCGUUGUAAAGUUCUGUUUUCUGGGACGAUCAUGACGGUACCACAGGAGGAAGCCACGGCUAACUACGUGCCAGCAUACGCAGUAAUACAUAGGUGGCAAGCAUUAUCCGGAUUUACUGGGCGUAAAGGAUGCUUAUGCGGAUGUUUAAGUGAGAUGUGAAAUACCCGAGCUCAGCUUGGGUGCUGCUUUUCAAACUGGAUAUCUAGACUGCAGGAGAGGAAAGCGGUAUUCCUAGUGUAGCGGAGAAAUGCGUAGAUAUUAGGAAGAACACCAGUGGAGAAGGCGGCUUUGUGGACUGUAACCGACGCUGAGGCAUGAAAGCGUGGGGAGCAAACAGGAUUAGACCCCGUGGUACUCCACGCCGUAAACGAUGAAUACGAGGUGUGGGAGGUAUCGACUCGUUCUGUGCCGCAGUCAACACAAUAAGUAUUCCGCAUGGGGAGUACGAUCGCAAGAUUACAACUCAAAGGAAUUGGCGGGGGCCCGCACAAGCAGCGGAGCAUGUGGUUUAAUUCGAAGCAACGAGACGAACCUUACCUAGACUUGACAUCUCCUGAAUUACCAUUAAUCGGGGACGCCCUUCGGCGCAGGAAGCCAGGUGGUCCAUGGUUGUCUUCAGCUCGUGUCGUGAGAUGUUGGGUUAAUGUCCCGCAAGGAGCGCAACCUUUAUCUUUAGUUGCUGCCAUUAAGUUGACCACUCUAGUGAGACUGCCACGGUUAACGUGGAGGAAGGUGGGGAUGACGUCAAAUCAUCAUGCCCCUUAUGUCUAGGGCCACACACGUGCCACAAUGGGGAAUACAAAUAGAUCCAAUCCCGCGAGGGUGGAGCCAACCUAUAAAAUUCAUCCCAGUUCGGAUUGUAGUCUGAAACUCGACUACAUGAAGCCGGAGUUGCUAGUAAUCGCGAAUCAGCAUGUCGCGGGGAAUACGUUCCCGGUCCUUGUACACCCCGCCCGUCACCCCAUGAGAGCUGGUAACACCCGAAGUCCGUGAGUACCCUAAGAGCCAGCG